RNAcentral lists this ribosomal RNA (734 nucleotides) under Spirulina sp. SCyano57. RNAcentral describes it as "bacterial SSU rRNA". It matches the Rfam family "Bacterial small subunit ribosomal RNA", at positions 19 to 798 of the family's 1533-position model. Lineage: Bacteria; Bacillati; Cyanobacteriota; Cyanophyceae; Spirulinales; Spirulinaceae. The record is from RNAcentral.
CUGGCUCAGGAUGAACGCUGGCGGUCUGCUUAACACAUGCAAGUCGAACGGGACCUUCGGGUCUAGUGGCGGACGGGUGAGUAAAGCGUGAGAAUCUGCCUCCAGGUCGGGGACAACAGUGGGAAACUGCUGCUAAUCCCGGAUGAGCCUAAGGGUAAAAGAUUUAUUGCCUGGAGAGGAGCUCGCGUCCGAUUAGCUAGUUGGUGAGGUAAGAGCUCACCAAGGCAACGAUCGGUAGCUGGUCUGAGAGGACGAUCAGCCACACUGGGACUGAGACACGGCCCAGACUCCUACGGGAGGCAGCAGUGGGGAAUUUUCCGCAAUGGGCGAAAGCCUGACGGAGCAAGACCGCGUGCGGGAGGAAGGCCCUUGGGUCGUAAACCGCUUUUCUUAGGGAAGAAGCUCUGACGGUACCUAAGGAAUCAGCCUCGGCUAACUCCGUGCCAGCAGCCGCGGUAAUACGGAGGAGGCAAGCGUUAUCCGGAAUUAUUGGGCGUAAAGCGUCCGCAGGCGGCUUCUCAAGUCUGCUGUCAAAGACCAGAGCUCAACUCUGGGCCGGCAGUGGAAACUGAGAAGCUAGAGUACAGUAGGGGUAGAGGGAAUUCCCAGUGUAGCGGUGAAAUGCGUAGAGAUUGGGAAGAACACCGGUGGCGAAAGCGCUCUACUGGGCUGUAACUGACGCUGAGGGACGAAAGCUAGGGUAGCGAAAGGGAUUAGAUACCCCUGUAGUCCUA